UGGGGAAUCUUGCACAAUGGGCGAAAGCCUGAUGCAGCGACGCCGCGUGCGGGAUGACGGCCUUCGGGUUGUAAACCGCUUUCAGCAGGGACGAUAAUGACGGUACCUGCAGAAGAAGCCCCGGCCAACUACGUGCCAGCAGCCGCGGUAAUACGUAGGGGGCAAGCGUUGUCCGGAUUUAUUGGGCGUAAAGAGCUCGUAGGCGGUUUGGUAAGUCUGGUGUGAAAUCUCCACGCUCAACGUGGAGGGGCCACCCGAUACUGCCAUGACUGGAGUCCGGUAGAGGAGUGUGGAAUUCCCGGUGUAGCGGUGAAAUGCGCAGAUAUCGGGAGGAACACCCGUAGCGAAGGCGGCACUCUGGGCCGGUACUGACGCUGAGGAGCGAAAGCGUGGGGAGCAAAACA
This 404-nucleotide ribosomal RNA is filed under the name uncultured Actinomycetes bacterium. Its description in RNAcentral is "bacterial SSU rRNA". It matches the Rfam family "Bacterial small subunit ribosomal RNA", at positions 355 to 775 of the family's 1533-position model. Lineage: Bacteria; Bacillati; Actinomycetota; Actinomycetes. The record is from RNAcentral.